RNA transcript from Drosophila biarmipes, 1482 nucleotides. RefSeq lists it as uncharacterized. The record is from RefSeq and is a predicted model, not a curated record. The transcript is spliced from 4 exons. Lineage: Eukaryota; Metazoa; Arthropoda; Insecta; Diptera; Drosophilidae.
UCUGCGGCCACAUAUCAUCUACUGAAAUAGCCUGUAGGUGGCACCCUAAAUAUCGCUUUGCUGCUUAGAUAUUUCCAUUUCCCUAUUGCUCCCUUUUACCUUGUUUCAUAUCAUUUUCAUAAAAAAUUUUCGAUCGUUUCUAUGUUAGUAGAGGUGGAGAAACAUCGAUGUCAUCGAUGUCUUCGAAACAUCGGUGACAUCGAUGUUUUACCAGGCAACAUCGAUGUUUUUCCAUCUCUAACGCGCAUCAAGAAGGGAAGACGUGAAAAUUUGUUCUGUUGGUGGUGUUGGCUGAGGUAGUGGAGUGGAGGCAUGGAGAGAUAUCUGAAACGAACAUUAAAAUCAGAUGAGAAUGUGGAGGAACAAGCGCCAGCCCCAAAAACAAAACGGGAAGCUUCUGUUGCCUGGGAUCACUUUAAAAAAGGCGUUGGAAAGGCACACGGAGUUUGCAUAUACUGUGGCAAAACUAUAAAAACGAACCAUCUAAAGCACAUGCACCCAGAUCGCCUUAAAGUUGGAAAAGGCCAAAAUGACAAUACAACUGCUUUGGAUGUGUUCGUGGGAAGGACAACGUUUUAUAGUAACGAUUCUGCCAGGAAACGGAAACUCGACGAAAUGGUGAUAAACAUGAUAGCUGUAGACGUUCAACCAUUCAGCUGUGUUGAGGAUGAAGGUCUCAUUAAUCUUUUAAGAGAAAUGGACCCGCGCUACAAGCUGCCAAGCAGGACCCACUUGCGUGACACAGUUCUUCCAAAUCAAUAUGACCGUUUAAAGCUCAUCCUGGUUUCUGUAUUCAUUCUGUAUAGGGUCGAACAAUUCCACGUAUAGCUACCAUUCUUGACCCUCGUUUUAAAAAACACGGUUUUCUUAGCCAAACCAACUCCGAAGAAGCGGCCAAAGCAUUGCAGGAAGAGCUAAACUCCUUGUGUCCAUUCCUCGAGAGCAGCCAGCACCACCAACAGAAGAACCUACACGAUUUUCCUUUAUGAAAUCAAAAUUGGAUGCAAAAGUACAAUCAUUCCGGGCCGAUGGAAUUGUCCUCUUGCGUCAACAUAUGGAAAAGGAAACCCAUCCCGAAAAGUGCGAUCCACUUGCAUAUUGGGAAGUAAGAAUAUGUCUACCGAAGAAACUUUCAAAAAGUUAUCCACAAAGUUUUUUUGCGUUCCCGCUUCAUCGUGCGAAUCAGAACGAGUGUUUAGUAGAGCUGGACAACUUAUAUCCGACCGUCGCACUAGACUUUCAUCUUUCGUUGUUGACAAACUUUUGUUUUUAAACAAAAACCAACAUCUAAAUAAAAUUUAAGUGAUUAAAAAAACGUGUUUUCUUUUAAAUAUCGAUGAAACAUCCCCGAACAUCGAUGUUUCUCCACCUCUAUAUGUCACCUAUUUAAUACGAUCGUCCGAUUUUGAUAAAAUUAAUUUAAAAUUCAGAACUAAUAAAAAAAUGUUAUUUCCAAGCGUAAAAAGUAAUAUGCUUAAAAAC